Limulus polyphemus (Atlantic horseshoe crab) is the source of this 670-nucleotide long non-coding RNA. RefSeq lists it as uncharacterized. The transcript has 4 exons. NCBI's taxonomy places the organism in Eukaryota, Metazoa, Arthropoda, Merostomata, Xiphosura, Limulidae. The record is from RefSeq and is a predicted model, not a curated record.
GUUAGCGUUUAGUUAGUUGACUUGGGGUCGUAGUAUGGUGAUGUGUUGCUGUAUUAUUCUUAGAUAUCAAACUUUUCAAAUGGGUUGACCGUUCAUCUGUAAAUGUCCUUCAACGUGAAUGUCAGCGAGGGCUCUUGGUAAUAGAAGCCGCUAGUGCUGAGAAACAUAGGUUCGAGGAAGUAGGCUUUCUCGUGACUGUUAAGAGAAGUGGGAUUUUGAAACACCAGUUUAAGACGUUAACUUCUGAGGUUUACAAUGAUGACACCAAAGACGGAUUGCAAGAAGUUCGCUCCAAAUAUAUUCAACAAAUCAAAAUGUCAGCAUUGUUUCAAGACGAAAGAAGCUCAUUCGGCUGACGCUCUAGAAAGUAACAGAGCCAAUUGCAAGAAACCUGGAAGAAACAAAGACUCUCUAGUGACGAGAAAAAAUCAUCAUCCUAUUUGUUACUUGCUCUUGGAAGGAAUACGUUACCCGUGACCGUCUUAUCAACCCAUGGGACACAUUAUCCGUUUUCUAUAUCAGUAAAGAAAACAGAUUUUAUAAUCAUAUGAGAUAAUAUAUUUUAAUUUUGGAUGAACUCAUUUAACUCGGUACUAGACUUAUUAGUAGAAUUAAUUACCCACGAGAUCUAUAUUUAAUUUGUUUUCAAUAAAACAGUUUUUCUGAACUA